GUAUUGUAUUGCGUUAAACGCGGCAUACAUUCCAUAAGACUUUAUUACAGUGUGUGUGUAAAGAUGUAGAACCAGGGCAAGAGGGACAGAGUCCCCCAUGCCCCAGAACCACAGAGCGUGCACAGGUGUGAGUGGAUGUGUAAACAGAGCGUGCACGUGCCCCCAUGUGAGGGACCAGCAACAACUCGUGUCGACAGUUCAGUAAUGAUCCUUCCGCAGGUUCACCUACGGAAA
Molecule: unclassified non-coding RNA, 234 nt
Filed under: uncultured fungus
Lineage: Eukaryota; Fungi
Description: sequence contains ITS1
Source: RNAcentral